UAACACAUGCAAGUCGAACGAGAACGGAUUUUAGUUUACUAAAAUUGUCAGCUAAGUGGCGCACGGGUGAGUAAUAUAUAGUUAACCUGCCCCAAAGAAGAGAAUAAUUGAUGGAAACGUCUUGUAACUCUCUAUAUGCCUUUAUCACAUAAGUGAGCAAGGGAAACAUUUAUGGCUUUGGGAUGGGACUGUACGGUAUCAGAUAGUUGGUGAGGUAAUGGCUCACCAAGUCAAUGACGCCUAACUGGUUUGAGAGGAUGAUCAGUCACACUGGAACUGAGACACGGUCCAGACUCCUACGGGAGGCAGCAGUGGGGAAUAUUGCACAAUGGGCGCAAGCCUGAUGCAGCCAUGCCGCGUGUAUGAAGAAGGCCUUCGGGUUGUAAAGUACUUUCAGCGGGGAGGAAGGCGACGGGGUUAAUAACCGCGUCGAUUGACGUUACCCGCAGAAGAAGCACCGGCUAACUCCGUGCCAGCAGCCGCGGUAAUACGGAGGGUGCAAGCGUUAAUCGGAAUU
RNAcentral lists this ribosomal RNA (517 nucleotides) under uncultured bacterium. RNAcentral's name for it is "bacterial SSU rRNA". It matches the Rfam family "Bacterial small subunit ribosomal RNA", at positions 49 to 552 of the family's 1533-position model. The record is from RNAcentral.